This 225-nucleotide unclassified non-coding RNA is filed under the name Hevea brasiliensis (rubber tree). Lineage: Eukaryota; Viridiplantae; Streptophyta; Magnoliopsida; Malpighiales; Euphorbiaceae. The record is from RNAcentral.
UGAUUUUCUACUUUAUGGCUGGGCAUUCCAAUAACAGGUUUUUCCCUUAUAUAAUCUAAUGAUAGAUUCAGUGGCUAUGUUGGCUUCUGCAUUUUUAACUUAUUUUUGAGGGAAAAUUAGUAGUCUUUGGGGCAAUGCUUGGGUGGUAAUGUGUUCAGAAAUCAUUUUACCACACCCAUUAAUAGGGAGGAAUUGGGAGAGAAUGAUAUCCUAGAAACAAUAUCA